RNAcentral lists this ribosomal RNA (465 nucleotides) under uncultured bacterium. Its description in RNAcentral is "bacterial SSU rRNA". It matches the Rfam family "Bacterial small subunit ribosomal RNA", at positions 329 to 792 of the family's 1533-position model. The record is from RNAcentral.
CUCCAGACUCCUACGGGAGGCAGCAGUGAGGAAUAUUGGUCAAUGGCCGAGAGGCUGAACCAGCCAAGUCGCGUGAGGGAAGACGGCCCUACGGGUUGUAAACCUCUUUUGUCGGGGAGCAAAGCGAGUCACGUGUGACUCAUUGAGAGUACCCGAAGAAAAAGCAUCGGCUAACUCCGUGCCAGCAGCCGCGGUAAUACGGAGGAUGCGAGCGUUAUCCGGAUUUAUUGGGUUUAAAGGGUGCGCAGGCGGGGGUCAAAGGCGGGGUAAAAAUGGGGGGGCCCACCCCCGGCCCGCCGUUGAAACUGGCAGUCUCGAGUUGGAGAGAGGUAUGCGGAAUGCGCGGUGUAGCGGUGAAAUGCAUAGAUAUCGCGCAGAACUCCGAUUGCGAAGGCAGCAUGCCGGCUCCACACUGACGCUGAGGCACGAAAGCGUGGGUAUCGAACAGGAUUAGAUACCCGAGUA